CAAUGCCUUCAGUUCAGUCGAGGACAGCUUCCCUUUUCUGUUAAUUAAACUUUGGAACGUUGGGGCAUUAAAACAGGCUAGGGUAGGUGAUUGCACAGAGAAUAUUAUUCUAUUCAUUUCCUUCCUAGCCAAAAAAA
This is a small nucleolar RNA of Macaca fascicularis (crab-eating macaque), 137 nucleotides long. NCBI's taxonomy places the organism in Eukaryota, Metazoa, Chordata, Mammalia, Primates, Cercopithecidae. The record is from Ensembl.